AAGAAUUAAUUUUUGGUACUUUUGACAUAAUCCAUUACAAUUUCUAUAGGCUCUUACCACUGUAUCCUUGAUUACUAAGGAGACAGGAAACUAAGUCUGGUGGAUGAAUGUGACCAUUAGACCAGACCCAUGAUCUUUUGGGUCAUGGCGCCGUAGAUGAUCGUUCUCAGCUCCUAUCAUAGUUCCUGGGAUGGUCUAAUGGCUGUCUGACAGACU
Molecule: small nucleolar RNA, 216 nt
Organism: Solanum dulcamara
Lineage: Eukaryota; Viridiplantae; Streptophyta; Magnoliopsida; Solanales; Solanaceae
Product: small nucleolar RNA U3
Exons: 1
Source: RefSeq, a predicted model, not a curated record